AUUGAACGCUGGCGGCAGGCCUAACACAUGCAAGUCGAACGGUAACAGGAAACAGCUUGCUGUUUCGCUGACGAGUGGCGGACGGGUGAGUAAUGUCUGGGAAACUGCCUGAUGGAGGGGGAUAACUACUGGAAACGGUAGCUAAUACCGCAUAACGUCGCAAGACCAAAGAGGGGGACCUUCGGGCCUCUUGCCAUCGGAUGUGCCCAGAUGGGAUUAGCUAGUAGGUGGGGUAACGGCUCACCUAGGCGACGAUCCCUAGCUGGUCUGAGAGGAUGACCAGCCGCACUGGAACUGAGACACGGUCCAGACUCCUACGGGAGGCAGCAGUGGGGAAUAUUGCACAAUGGGCGCAAGCCUGAUGCAGCCAUGUCGCGUGUAUGAAGAAGGCCUUCGGGUUGUAAAGUACCUUCAGCGGGGAGGAAGGGAGUAAAGUUAAUACCUUUGCUCAUUGACGUUACCCGCAGAAGAAGCACCGGCUAACUCCGUGCCAGCCGCCGCGGUAA
RNAcentral lists this ribosomal RNA (506 nucleotides) under uncultured bacterium. Its description in RNAcentral is "partial 16S ribosomal RNA". It matches the Rfam family "Bacterial small subunit ribosomal RNA", at positions 30 to 523 of the family's 1533-position model. The record is from RNAcentral.